Molecule: ribosomal RNA, 253 nt
Filed under: uncultured bacterium
Lineage: Bacteria
Description: partial 16S ribosomal RNA
Rfam family: Bacterial small subunit ribosomal RNA
Source: RNAcentral
UACGUAGGGGGCAAGCGUUGUCCGGAUUUACUGGGCGUAAAGAGCGUGUAGGCGGCCAAGCAGGUCCGUUGUGAAAACUGGAGGCUUAACCUUCAGACGUCGACGGAAACCGCGCGGCUAGAGUCCGGAAGAGGAGAGUGGAAUUCCGAGUGUAGAGGUGAAAUUCGUAGAUAUUCGGAGGAACACCAGUGGCGAAGGCGGCUCACUGGUCCGGUACUGACGCUGAGGUGCGAAAGCGUGGGGAGCAAACAGG